RNAcentral lists this ribosomal RNA (482 nucleotides) under Dendrobaena octaedra. RNAcentral's name for it is "partial 16S ribosomal RNA". It matches the Rfam family "Bacterial large subunit ribosomal RNA", at positions 1817 to 2597 of the family's 2925-position model. Lineage: Eukaryota; Metazoa; Annelida; Clitellata; Crassiclitellata; Lumbricidae. RNAcentral also lists the same sequence under 1 other name. The record is from RNAcentral.
UGCUUUUUGAUAUUUCAUAAAAAGUAAUUCCUGCCCAGUGAACCUAUUCAACGGCCGCGGUAUCCUAACCGUGCAAAGGUAGCAUAAUCACUUGCCCAUUAAUUGUGGGCUAGAAUGAACGGAUCAACGAAAUAAAACCUGUCUCUGUAAACUUUUUAUAAAUUAAAAUCUAACUGAAGAUUGUUAGAUAUUGCUGAAGGACAAGAAGACCCUAUAGAGCUUAAUUUUAAAUUGUACUAAAGUCAAUCUAAAAAUUCGGUUGGGGCGACCAGGGAAAUUAAUAAUCAUCCCCUAAUCAAAGAUUUAUUAAUCUAUAAAUAAGACCCUACUAUGAUCUAAAGAACAAGCUACCUUAGGGAUAACAGACUAAUCCUACUAAAGAGUCCUUAUCUAUAGUGGGGGUUGGCACCUCGAUGUUGGCUUAGGGAAUCUAUAUAAUGCAAAAGUUAUAUGAAGAUGGUUUGUUCAACCAAUAAUACCCU